RNAcentral lists this long non-coding RNA (1823 nucleotides) under Triticum aestivum (bread wheat). RNAcentral describes it as "long non-coding RNA (TAES_LNC023925)". Lineage: Eukaryota; Viridiplantae; Streptophyta; Magnoliopsida; Poales; Poaceae. The record is from RNAcentral.
ACGAUGAGGUCAUGCAGGUAUGACCUCUGAUCAUAUGCCUUAGGUAAUGCUUCAGAAGCUAUUCAUCGUAUUUUAGUUUUGGUUAGGUAGGUAUAAUGUCCAUUAUAAGCUCAUAUAUAUUUGGGUUCUUCCAAGUAUUUGUGCAAGAAUUACUAAAAAAUACCCCUAAUUUAUUAUCUAAAGUAGUUAGCAGUAAUAUUGUAUUCAUGAUUAUCAGCAAUAAAAAGCCCAUCUACUUUAGCCACAUUUCUCCCCCACAGAUGUACUGGAUUUUGGGGAAUCCAGACUAUCCAGAUGGUUGGAAUUUGAGGAGCCCGUUGAGUGCCCAUUUGAUGUCAAAACACAACCGGACGUAAGAGGUAGAAAUGAGCUUUAACAGAAAUAUGGAGAAUGAUUUGAGGGAUUGUAAAUGGUUGAGAUAGAGAAUCAUUUGAGCGGUUGUAAAUGGUUGAGAUAGCAAAAUAUGAAUAUCUUAUAUUGAUUAAGUUUUCUAUGAAGGAUUUUGCAUUACAUGCACCGGCGGAGCGUCGGCGGGACCAAGGAGGGUCCCGGCCCCCUUUUCAUGUGUAACAUUGCAAGGAUAAGCUUGUCCUAAAACUAAACACCCUAUUAAUCUUCCGGCCAUGGUUUAGGUUUAGCUUCAGGUUCAAACUGCUCAGAACAUCAUACUAUUGCAGUCUAGCUUUCCAACUUUUCUUGGUCCAGAGUAACCAGAGAGAAGUGAAGAACUCAACUAGGUAGAUUAGAUGCCCCUUGUGUGGGUGAGAAUAUUUAUUUUUCUUAACCAAGCUCUCAAGAUACUAAGGAAAUAAUGAUUGUUAACCUACAUGCAUCAUGUUCAACUCAUCUUCUUCGCAACCAGUACAUUUUAUUUUUGCAUGUCCAUUGCUCAUUUUAACUUCUGCCAUUUAUUCCUAGGAGCUCAUAUAUAUUUCUUUUCUUUUCUCCUUUCGCAUAUGGUCUCAUUGUUACUUCAAUAAUAGUACUAUGCAAUCCAAUUUUUUCUCCAGGAGCCAAUGGUCAAGUUUGUACAUUUUUUUGUUUUUGAAAGAUGUCCUACCAGCUCUAUUGUCUAUAAAUGGUUCGGUCUAUGAUUUUUGUCGGGGAUUCGCCGCUUCUUUUGGAGGUACGACGUCUACAUCUAUCAGCUGUUCUGCCACGAAUUCUGAUGCACUUUUAAUGUAUCUUGGAUUAAAACAAGCAUGAGAACUUGCCAAGCCAUCUGGAAAUGCCAUCAGAGCCGAAACAUUUUUUAGGUUGCUGACAGCAUUGAGCUGGACUUGCUUUUUAUGCUACUACUGCUGAAGACAAACUCCAGAGAAGGGAGUGAAAGUAGAAAGAAGAGAGGUUGCACAAGAUGAGUAAUGAUGGGUAGCGAUAGAGGCUGAAACUGUGAUGAUGAUGCGGAUCUGACCAUUAGUAUGUUUCCCAUCAAGGAAAUCUACAAUUUCUAUUAUGAUACAGAUUUUUUAUUAUGAGGUCUGUUUCUCAUAAAGAAUGUGAUUUCUGCAUGAUAGUUUUCUAUUGAAGGUUUUAUGCAAAGACUGACAUUUAAGAAGGAUGUAGUAAAAUGUAAACCUUGGUAGGUACUCCUGAAGUUGAAGCUACUCAGGCAAUAGUAAUUUCUUUUUCCGAGAACUGAACUACUGUUUCAGGUUUUGCUUAAUAUUGUUAUUCCUCGUAGGAUGUUCAAGAUGUACACCCUUUAAAUUUUGUACUUACCAUAGCUUCAGGUCCACUUGUGAGCUCUUAUGCAAUUUUGCUUAAGUUAGAUUACAUUGGGGUUGCUUUGACCUUAUGGUCAUGUAUAUACCAACGAGGAC